CCGCCUUUGCACGGGCUUUGUGCGCGUGGUUGCCGGGUGACGGACGCGAGUUCGUGACAAACUGGAGGGAAGGAGAGAAGGAGAAAUACAAGCACUGUCCGUACUGUCUUCCGUCCUUGGGACGGACAUCAAGCCCUCGGGGACUGUGUGUCACCCCAUCGAGCCAUGGCUGUCGGCCAGCCCUGACGGCGUCAUCGUCACCCACAGGGAAGACAACACCACCACCACCACUGUAGUUGAAGUGAAGUGCCCUCUAGUGGCCGAUACUCUGAGAGACGAGGUUUGCACCAGAGGUGCGGGGGGUCUAGAGUACGACCCCUCCAACAGAAGCGACCCCUACUCCCUGGAGCAGUUCGGGAACAAGUCGCAGGUGCAGCUGACCAUGCACUGUGUGGGGGCCAGAAGCUGCCAGUACUUCGUCUUCAGCACACCCUCCGACCACAUCCUCAUCGACGUCGACUACGACGAGACGUUUGUGCAAAACUUAGUGGGGGUUUUAAAGAAGUUUUAUUUCAGGACCAUGCUUCCCGCGCUCGUUGACAAGACGGAGAGCGGGGAGCUUGAGAUAGGAGGCACGUACCUGUCCCUGUGCUCACAGCCCCAGACUCAGUAAGUGUGUGAACUGACAGUGAGCAUCUCACAGUGUGAGACUCGGUGAACACACAGUGAACAUAUCACGUUAUGAGACUCAGUGAACUGACAUUGAACAUCUGACAGUGUGAGACUCAGUGAAUUGACAGUGAACAUCUGACAGUGCGAGACUCAGUGAAUUGACAGUGAACAUCUCACAGUGUGAGACUCAGUGAAUUGACAGCAUGGGUGGGAGACNUCCGUAAUUUUACGGAAUUUCCGUUAAAAAAAAAAAAAAAAACAAAAAAAAAAAACCCUUUUGAAGCNCAAAAUUAACUUAAGAAACCCCCCCAAACCCNUGCCCNGCUUCNCAAAUUCACANCCNUUCNAUUUGAUGGAUUUCGUUAAAAAACAAAANAAAAAANCGUNACUUNCAAGUUUCC
Molecule: unclassified non-coding RNA, 1013 nt
Filed under: Ilyanassa obsoleta
Lineage: Eukaryota; Metazoa; Mollusca; Gastropoda; Neogastropoda; Nassariidae
Description: Tritia obsoleta partial localized RNA 7
Source: RNAcentral